Molecule: long non-coding RNA, 163 nt
Organism: Musca vetustissima
Lineage: Eukaryota; Metazoa; Arthropoda; Insecta; Diptera; Muscidae
Exons: 2
Source: RefSeq, a predicted model, not a curated record
AAGAAGAAAUAACAACUCAAGUCUGGAGUCUAACAGCAGACUUGAUUGAAAAAAACAGCUUUUGCUACAAAGAAGAAUAUUAACAAAAAAUAUAAUAAUAACAAUUAUUAUUAUAAAUAUAAUUAUUAUUAUUUUAUAUAAUACAAAAAAGAAAAAAAUAAAA